UACGGGGGGGGCAAGCGUUGUUCGGAAUUACUGGGCGUAAAGGGCUCGUAGGUGGCCAACUAAGUCAGACGUGAAAUCCCUCAGCUUAACUGGGGAACUGCGUCUGAUACUGGAUGGCUUGAGUUUGGGAGAGGGAUGCGAAAUUCCAGGUGUAGCGGUGAAAUGCGUAGAUAUCUGGAGGAACACCGGUGGCGAAGGCGGCAUCCUGGACCAACACUGACACUGAUGAGCGAAAGCCAGGGGAGCAAACGGG
This 253-nucleotide ribosomal RNA is filed under the name uncultured bacterium. RNAcentral's name for it is "partial 16S ribosomal RNA". It matches the Rfam family "Bacterial small subunit ribosomal RNA", at positions 524 to 776 of the family's 1533-position model. The record is from RNAcentral.